AAACGGCCCCCUCCAGUACGAAAGGACCCGGGGGGCAAAGCCAAUACCACAGGCACGCUUUAAAGAAAAAUAUAAAUCAAUUAAAUAUCACAAUACUACCAAAUUUAAGCCCAGAAAAGGCUAGUUAAGAACCAACAGACACACCAACCUUAACAC
RNAcentral lists this ribosomal RNA (156 nucleotides) under Lichanura trivirgata (rosy boa). RNAcentral's name for it is "partial 16S ribosomal RNA". The record is from RNAcentral. Lineage: Eukaryota; Metazoa; Chordata; Lepidosauria; Squamata; Ungaliophiidae.